Molecule: ribosomal RNA, 813 nt
Filed under: Nocardia wallacei
Lineage: Bacteria; Bacillati; Actinomycetota; Actinomycetes; Mycobacteriales; Nocardiaceae
Description: bacterial SSU rRNA
Rfam family: Bacterial small subunit ribosomal RNA
Source: RNAcentral
UGCAGUCGAGCGGUAAGGCCCUUCGGGGUACACGAGCGGCGAACGGGUGAGUAACACGUGGGUGAUCUGCCUCGUACUCUGGGAUAAGCCUGGGAAACUGGGUCUAAUACCGGAUAUGACCACGAGUCGCAUGGUUUGUGGUGGAAAGAUUUAUCGGUGCGAGAUGGGCCCGCGGCCUAUCAGCUUGUUGGUGGGGUAAUGGCCUACCAAGGCGACGACGGGUAGCCGGCCUGAGAGGGCGACCGGCCACACUGGGACUGAGACACGGCCCAGACUCCUACGGGAGGCAGCAGUGGGGAAUAUUGCACAAUGGGCGGAAGCCUGAUGCAGCGACGCCGCGUGCGGGAUGACGGCCUUCGGGUUGUAAACCGCUUUCGACAGGGACGAAGCGUGAGUGACGGUACCUGUAGAAGAAGCACCGGCCAACUACGUGCCAGCAGCCGCGGUAAUACGUAGGGUGCGAGCGUUGUCCGGAAUUACUGGGCGUAAAGAGCUUGUAGGCGGUUUGUCGCGUCGUUCGUGAAAACUUGGGGCUCAACCCCAAGCUUGCGGGCGAUACGGGCAGACUAGAGUACUGCAGGGGAGACUGGAAUUCCUGGUGUAGCGGUGAAAUGCGCAGAUAUCAGGAGGAACACCGGUGGCGAAGGCGGGUCUCUGGGCAGUAACUGACGCUGAGAAGCGAAAGCGUGGGUAGCGAACAGGAUUAGAUACCCUGGUAGUCCACGCCGUAAACGGUGGGUACUAGGUGUGGGUUUCCUUCCACGGGAUCCGUGCCGUAGCUAACGCAUUAAGUACCCCGCCUGGGGAGUACGG